This 311-nucleotide long non-coding RNA is filed under the name Elaeis guineensis (African oil palm). RNAcentral describes it as "long non-coding RNA (EGUI_LNC029895)". The record is from RNAcentral. Lineage: Eukaryota; Viridiplantae; Streptophyta; Magnoliopsida; Arecales; Arecaceae.
GAGCAAGUCCAAAUGCUCACGACUGCUGCAUAGCAGCUGCAUCCCCGAGAUGUAAAAGGGAUGAAAGCUCCACUAGUGGCUCCACCCUGGCGAGAUUGUCGGACCUACAUAGAGCAAUCUGGGCAAUGGUGGGAGCACACGAAUGCAGCCUAGGCCUCAUGCUGAGGACCACUGUCAGCUGAAUUGACUUCAUGUCCUUCACUCUGACACCUUCGGGGCCCCUUAGGGAGACUAUCGACAAGACCAAUCACCGAAGUCCUCCAAGGGGGAUGCCCACUCCAAUUCUCUCCUACGAUGACAUCACUCCUGGU